Molecule: ribosomal RNA, 270 nt
Filed under: uncultured archaeon
Lineage: Archaea
Description: partial 16S ribosomal RNA
Rfam family: Archaeal small subunit ribosomal RNA
Source: RNAcentral
CAGCACCUCAAGUGGUCAGGAUGAUUAUUGGGCCUAAAGUAUCCGUAGCCGGCGCUGUAAGUUUUCGGUUAAAUCUGUACGCUCAACGUACAGGCUGCCGGGAAUACUGCAGCGCUAGGGAGUGGGAGAGGUAGACGGUACUCGGUAGGAAGGGGUAAAAUCCUUUGAUCUAUUGAUGACCACCUGUGGCGAAGGCGGUCUACCAGAACACGUCCGACGGUGAGGGAUGAAAGCUGGGGGAGCAAACCGGAUUAGAUACCCGAGUAGUCC